This 646-nucleotide ribosomal RNA is filed under the name uncultured bacterium. RNAcentral describes it as "bacterial SSU rRNA". It matches the Rfam family "Bacterial small subunit ribosomal RNA", at positions 626 to 1271 of the family's 1533-position model. The record is from RNAcentral.
UUCGAUACUGGGAAGCUAGAGUAUGGGAGAGGAUGGUAGAAUUCCAGGUGUAGCGGUGAAAUGCGUAGAGAUCUGGAGGAAUACCGAUGGCGAAGGCAGCCAUCUGGCCUAAUACUGACGCUGAGGUACGAAAGCAUGGGGAGCAAACAGGAUUAGAUACCCUGGUAGUCCAUGCCGUAGACGAUGUCUACUAGCCGUUGGGGCCUUUGAGGCUUUAGUGGCGCAGCUAACGCGAUAAGUAGACCGCCUGGGGAGUACGGUCGCAAGACUAAAACUCAAAUGAAUUGACGGGGGCCCGCACAAGCGGUGGAGCAUGUGGUUUAAUUCGAUGCAACGCGAAGAACCUUACCUGGUCUUGACAUAGUAAGAACUUUCCAGAGAUGGAUUGGUGCCUUCGGGAACUUACAUACAGGUGCUGCAUGGCUGUCGUCAGCUCGUGUCGUGAGAUGUUGGGUUAAGUCCCGCAACGAGCGCAACCCUUUUCCUUAUUUGCCAGCGGGUUAAGCCGGGAACUUUAAGGAUACUGCCAGUGACAAACUGGAGGAAGGCGGGGACGACGUCAAGUCAUCAUGGCCCUUACGACCAGGGCUACACACGUGCUACAAUGGUCGGUACAAAGGGUUGCUACCUAGCGAUAGGACGCUGA